UACGGGGGGGGCAAGCGUUGUUCGGAAUUACUGGGCGUAAAGGGCGCGUAGGCGGCCGGUCAAGUCGGGGGUGAAAGCCUGUGGCUCAACCACAGAAUGGCCUUCGAUACUGUUUGGCUUGAGACCGGAAGAGGUCAGUGGAACUGCGAGUGUAGAGGUGAAAUUCGUAGAUAUUCGCAAGAACACCAGUGGCGAAGGCGGCUGACUGGUCCGGUUCUGACGCUGAGGCGCGAAAGCGUGGGGAGCAAACAGG
This 253-nucleotide ribosomal RNA is filed under the name uncultured bacterium. Its description in RNAcentral is "partial 16S ribosomal RNA". It matches the Rfam family "Bacterial small subunit ribosomal RNA", at positions 524 to 776 of the family's 1533-position model. The record is from RNAcentral.